RNAcentral lists this ribosomal RNA (600 nucleotides) under Rhodoglobus sp. IF14R2A. RNAcentral describes it as "bacterial SSU rRNA". It matches the Rfam family "Bacterial small subunit ribosomal RNA", at positions 85 to 700 of the family's 1533-position model. Lineage: Bacteria; Bacillati; Actinomycetota; Actinomycetes; Micrococcales; Microbacteriaceae. The record is from RNAcentral.
CUUCUGAUUAUUGGCGAACGGGUGAGUAACACGUGAGUAACCUGCCCUUGACUCUGGGAUAAGCACUGGAAACGGUGUCUAAUACCGGAUACGAGCUUCAGCCGCAUGGCUAGGAGCUGGAAAGAAUUUUGGUCAAGGAUGGACUCGCGGCCUAUCAGCUAGUUGGUGAGGUAACGGCCCACCAAGGCGACGACCGGUAGCCGGCCUGAGAGGGUGACCGGCCACACUGGGACUGAGACACGGCCCAGACUCCUACGGGAGGCAGCAGUGGGGAAUAUUGCACAAUGGGCGAAAGCCUGAUGCAGCAACGCCGCGUGAGGGACGACGGCCUUCGGGUUGUAAACCUCUUUUAGUAGGGAAGAAGCGAAAGUGACGGUACCUGCAGAAAAACACCGGCUAACUACGUGCCAGCAGCCGCGGUAAUACGUAGGGUGCAAGCGUUGUCCGGAAUUAUUGGGCGUAAAGAGCUCGUAGGCGGUUUGUCGCGUCUGCUGUGAAAACCCGAGGCUCAACCUCGGGCCUGCAGUGGGUACGGGCAGACUAGAGUGCGGUAGGGGAGAUUGGAAUUCCUGGUGUAGCGGUGGAAUGCGCAGAUAUCAG